RNAcentral lists this ribosomal RNA (380 nucleotides) under uncultured bacterium. Its description in RNAcentral is "bacterial SSU rRNA". It matches the Rfam family "Bacterial small subunit ribosomal RNA", at positions 30 to 416 of the family's 1533-position model. The record is from RNAcentral.
AUUGAACGCUGGCGGCAUGCUUUACACAUGCAAGUCGAACGGUAGGGUAGCAAUACCUGAGAGUGGCGAACGGGUGAGUAAUGCAUCGGAACAUGCCUAUUAGUGGGGGAUAGCCCGGCGAAAGCCGGAUUAAUACCGCAUACGAUCUAAGGAUGAAAGCAGGGGACCGCAAGGCCUUGCGCUAAUGGAGUGGCCGAUGUCAGAUUAGCUAGUUGGUGGGGUAAAGGCUCACCAAGGCGACGAUCUGUAGCUGGUUUGAGAGAACGACCAGCCACACUGGGACUGAGACACGGCCCAGACUCCUACGGGAGGCAGCAGUGGGGAAUUUUGGACAAUGGGCGCAAGCCUGAUCCAGCAAUGCCGCGUGCAGGAUGAAGGCC